This 253-nucleotide ribosomal RNA is filed under the name uncultured bacterium. RNAcentral describes it as "partial 16S ribosomal RNA". It matches the Rfam family "Bacterial small subunit ribosomal RNA", at positions 524 to 776 of the family's 1533-position model. The record is from RNAcentral.
UACGUAGGGUGCAAGCGUUAAUCGGAAUUACUGGGCGUAAAGCGUGCGCAGGCGGUUUUGUAAGCCAGAUGUGAAAGCCCCGGGCUCAACUUGGGAACUGCAUUUGAUACUGUCAGACUAGAGUACAGAAGAGGUGACUGGAAUUCCCAGUGUAGCGGUGAAAUGCGUAGAUAUUGGGAGGAACACCAGAUGCGAAGGCGGGUCACUGGGCUGAUACUGACGCUGAAGCGCGAAAGCCAGGGGAGCGAACGGG